RNAcentral lists this ribosomal RNA (424 nucleotides) under uncultured bacterium. Its description in RNAcentral is "partial 16S ribosomal RNA". It matches the Rfam family "Bacterial small subunit ribosomal RNA", at positions 359 to 774 of the family's 1533-position model. The record is from RNAcentral.
GAAUAUUGGACAAUGGGGGGAACCCUGAUCCCGCCAUGCCGCGUGUGUGAAGAAGGCCUGUUGGUUGUAAAGCUCUUUAAGCGAGGAGGAGGCUACCGUAGUUAACACCUAGGGAUAGUGGACGUUACUCGCGGAACAAGCCCCGACUAACUCUGUGCCAGCAGCCGCGGUAAUACUGAGGGUGCAAGCGUUAAUCGGAAUUACUGGGCGUAAAGCGCGCGUAGGUGGCUAAGUAAGUCAAAUGUGAAAUCCCCGAGCUUAACUUGGGAAUUGCAUUCGAUACUGGUUGGCUAGAGUAUGGGAGAGGAUGGUAGAAUUCCAGGUGUAGCGGUGAAAUGCGUAGAGAUCUGGAGGAAUACCGAUGGCGAAGGCAGCCAUCUGGCCUAAUACUGACACUGAGGUGCGAAAGCAUGGGGAGCAAACG